GGCUCAAUGGUCUAGUGGUGAGAUUCUUGCUUUGGGUGCGAGAGGUCCUGAGUUCGAUUCUCAAUUGAGCCC
RNAcentral lists this transfer RNA (72 nucleotides) under Clytia hemisphaerica. RNAcentral's name for it is "tRNA-Pro for anticodon UGG". It matches the Rfam family "tRNA". From Rfam's summary of the family: Transfer RNA (tRNA) molecules are approximately 80 nucleotides in length. Their secondary structure includes four short double-helical elements and three loops (D, anti-codon, and T loops). Further hydrogen bonds mediate the characteristic L-shaped molecular structure. tRNAs have two regions of fundamental functional importance: the anti-codon, which is responsible for specific mRNA codon recognition, and the 3' end, to which the tRNAs corresponding amino acid is attached (by aminoacyl-tRNA synthetases). tRNAs cope with the degeneracy of the genetic code in two manners: having more than one tRNA (with a specific anti-codon) for a particular amino acid; and 'wobble' base-pairing, i.e. permitting non-standard base-pairing at the 3rd anti-codon position. The record is from Rfam by way of RNAcentral. Lineage: Eukaryota; Metazoa; Cnidaria; Hydrozoa; Leptothecata; Clytiidae.